UGUCUGGGAAACUGCCUGAUGGAGGGGGAUAACUACUGGAAACGGUAGCUAAUACCGCAUAACGUCGCAAGACCAAAGAGGGGGACCUUCGGGCCUCUUGCCAUCGGAUGUGCCCAGAUGGGAUUAGCUAGUAGGUGGGGUAACGGCUCACCUAGGCGACGAUCCCUAGCUGGUCUGAGAGGAUGACCAGCCACACUGGAACUGAGACACGGUCCAGACUCCUACGGGAGGCAGCAGUGGGGAAUAUUGCACAAUGGGCGCAAGCCUGAUGCAGCCAUGCCGCGUGUAUGAAGAAGGCCUUCGGGUUGUAAAGUACUUUCAGCGGGGAGGAAGGGAGUAAAGUUAAUACCUUUGCUCAUUGACGUUACCCGCAGAAGAAGCACCGGCUAACUCCGUGCCAGCAGCCGCGGUAAUACGGAGGGUGCAAGCGUUAAUCGGAAUUACUGGGCGUAAAGCGCACGCAGGCGGUUUGUUAAGUCAGAUGUGAAAUCCCCGGGCUCAACCUGGGAACUGCAUCUGAUACUGGCAAGCUUGAGUCUCGUAGAGGGGGGUAGAAUUCCAGGUGUAGCGGUGAAAUGCGUAGAGAUCUGGAGGAAUACCGGUGGCGAAGGCGGCCCCCUGGACGAAGAUUGACGCUCAGGUGCGAAAGCGUGGGGAGCAAACAGGAUUAGAUACCCUGGUAGUCCACGCCGUAAACGAUGUCAACUUGGAGGUUGUGCCCUUGAGGCGUGGCUUCCGGAGCUAACGCGUUAAGUCGACCGCCUGGGGAGUACGGCCGCAAGGUUAAAACUCAAAUGAAUUGACGGGGGCCCGCACAAGCGGUGGAGCAUGUGGUUUAAUUCGAUGCAACGCGAAGAACCUUACCUGGUCUUGACAUCCACGGAAGUUUUCAGAGAUGAGAAUGUGCCUUCGGGAACCGUGAGACAGGUGCUGCAUGGCUGUCGUCAGCUCGUGUUGUGAAAUGUUGGGUUAAGUCCCGCAACGAGCGCAACCCUUAUCCUUUGUUGCCAGCGGUCCGGCCGGGAACUCAAAGGAGACUGCCAGUGAUAAACUGGAGGAAGGUGGGGGUGACGUCAAGUCAUCAUGGCCCUUACGACCAGGGCUACACACGUGCUACAAUGGCGCAUACAAAGAGAAGCGACCUCGCGAGAGCAAGCGGACCUCAUAAAGUGCGUCGUAGUCCGGAUUGGAGUCUGCAACUCGACUCCAUGAAGUCGGAAUCGCUAGUAAUCGUGGAUCAGAAUGCCACGGUGAAUACGUUCCCGGGCCUUGUACACACCGCCCGUCACACCAUGGGAGUGGGUUGCAAAAGAAGUAGGUAGCUUAACCUUCGGGAGGGCGCUUACCACUUUGUGAUUCAUGACUGGGGUGAAGUCGAAACAAGGUA
RNAcentral lists this ribosomal RNA (1387 nucleotides) under metagenome. RNAcentral describes it as "bacterial SSU rRNA". It matches the Rfam family "Bacterial small subunit ribosomal RNA". The record is from RNAcentral.